GGGCCGGUAGCUCAGUCCGGCAGAGCGUCUGGCUCUUAACCAGACGGUCGCGCGUUCAAAUCGCGUCCGGCCCG
Molecule: transfer RNA, 74 nt
Filed under: Halobellus ruber
Lineage: Archaea; Methanobacteriati; Methanobacteriota; Halobacteria; Halobacteriales; Haloferacaceae
Description: tRNA-Lys
Rfam family: tRNA
About the family: Transfer RNA (tRNA) molecules are approximately 80 nucleotides in length.
Source: RNAcentral